RNAcentral lists this ribosomal RNA (420 nucleotides) under uncultured Nitrososphaerota archaeon. RNAcentral's name for it is "bacterial SSU rRNA". It matches the Rfam family "Archaeal small subunit ribosomal RNA", at positions 459 to 879 of the family's 1478-position model. The record is from RNAcentral. Lineage: Archaea; Thermoproteati; Nitrososphaerota.
CAGCCGCCGCGGUAAAACCAGCACCUCAAGUGGUCAGGAUGAUUAUUGGGCCUAAAGCAUCCGUAGCCGGCUCUGUAAGUUUUCGGUUAAAUCUGUACGCUCAACGUACAGGCUGCCGGGAAUACUGCAGAGCUAGGGAGUGGGAGAGGUAGACGGUACUCGAUAGGAAGGGGUAAAAUCCUUUGAUCUAUUGAUGACCACCUGUGGCGAAGGCGGUCUACCAGAACACGUCCGACGGUGAGGGAUGAAAGCUGGGGGAGCAAACCGGAUUAGAUACCCGGGUAGUCCCAGCUGUAAACUAUGCAAACUCAGUGAUGCAUUGGCUUGUGGCCAAUGCAGUGCUGCAGGGAAGCCGUUAAGUUUGCCGCCUGGGAAGUACGUACGCAAGUAUGAAACUUAAAGGAAUUGGCGGGGGAGCAC